RNAcentral lists this ribosomal RNA (106 nucleotides) under uncultured bacterium. Its description in RNAcentral is "partial 16S ribosomal RNA". It matches the Rfam family "Bacterial small subunit ribosomal RNA", at positions 1365 to 1482 of the family's 1533-position model. The record is from RNAcentral.
AAUACGUUCCCGGGCCUUGUACACACCGCCCGUCAAGCCAUGGAAGUUGGGAGUACCUGAAGUCCUCUAGCAAUAGAGGCCUAGGGUAAAACCAAUGACUGGGGCU